CGCUAUCAUCGCCAUAAGGCUGAGAGAAAUCAAGUAGGCGAUGCUCGGUCUUACCGCUAGGGGCGCGGGAGUAUACUUUCUGAAAAUUUUUCUACUUUUUCUAAUAUUAGUACUGAAUACGUGCUUCACACACACGUAUUGGCGGGAAUUGUAUUUAACUUUACGUCAUCAACUGUACACCUUAAUUUUCUAGAUCCCCUUCCUGUAUCCCGUGAAUUAUUUCAAAAUUUUAUUCUAAUUCUUUGGUAUGGUAAUAAAAUUAUACAUUUACCCCCUCUUUUCCCUAUUUUUCAGAUGUAUAGAGCCCAUCGUGAAACCCUGCAUUUCAGACAAUAUUUCGUGUUUUUCUAACAGAAGUCAGAAGCUGUCAGAACACAGAAACAGAAGCGGGAAUUGUGAAGUGCUGCCCAUCCUAACCCAAAGAUAAGGAGCUAUUUAAAAACGGAAACAGAAGAUUCCCAGGAAGGAAGUUUCAAAAUUACUUGCUUCAGACAGAUGCAGGCGACUGGAUCUAGGAGCGAUCAUUUGGAAAUGGAGUACUAGCACUACAGGACAAUUAGUGCCCACUCUAUGGAACUUUAAAGCAGCAGUGAUAUAAAACAAGAGAUACCAAUAACUGCCUAUACCCAAACCAUACACGUUACAUUUCAUUGAUAUUAUUGGACAAACAAGUAAUGUGACCGCAAAGACAAGAUAGUUCGCCAUGUGCUCUUCUUAACUCUGUGAGUAGUGCUAACAACACACUAUUAUGUUAUUCAUAAUCUUGUUCAACUAUCAUAAAAUAAAGAUGCUCAAAUGACAACAGCUUAUUAGUAGCUGGACAGCAUGGCCAACUCCUGUCAAUGCCACACAAUUGUUGUAUCCCAACAAUACUUCCAUUCUGCAAAAACCUAAAUGUCAGAACAUAUUCAUAGCAGUGGGGUGGCAGUCAACGUCUCAGGCAAAGUGUACAGUUUAUAUAUUUCUUGGUUAUUAACACCUUACAAUUUUACUUGCAUUUCACAAAAUAUGUAACAUGGUAUCAAUGUAAGGUUACAAUAUAAUCAUCGUCUUGCCAA
Molecule: long non-coding RNA, 1058 nt
Filed under: Daphnia magna
Lineage: Eukaryota; Metazoa; Arthropoda; Branchiopoda; Diplostraca; Daphniidae
Description: uncharacterized LOC123473991, transcript variant X1
Source: RNAcentral